RNAcentral lists this ribosomal RNA (253 nucleotides) under uncultured bacterium. RNAcentral describes it as "partial 16S ribosomal RNA". It matches the Rfam family "Bacterial small subunit ribosomal RNA", at positions 524 to 776 of the family's 1533-position model. The record is from RNAcentral.
UACGGGGGGGGCAAGCGUUGUUCGGAAUUACUGGGCGUAAAGAGCGUGUAGGCGGCCACGCAGGUCCGUUGUGAAAACUGGAGGCUCAACUUCCAGACGUCGACGGAAACCGUGUGGCUAGAGUCCGGAAGAGGAGAGUGGAAUUCCCGGUGUAGCGGUGAAAUGCGCAGAUAUCAGGAGGAACACCAAUGGCGAAGGCAGCUCGCUGGAACGGUACUGACGCUGAGGCGCGAAAGCGUGGGGAGCGAACAGG